Molecule: long non-coding RNA, 490 nt
Filed under: Androctonus crassicauda
Lineage: Eukaryota; Metazoa; Arthropoda; Arachnida; Scorpiones; Buthidae
Source: RNAcentral
UGUAGACGCUAGCGCGGUAUCGACGGCAGAAGUUUGUGUGUGUGUGUGAGUGUGUGUGUGUGUAACCUCGUACUGCUUGCCGUCGAUAGACGUCGCUGCCGCGCGCCUGCGACGAGGUUAAGGCCUACAGGUUGGCGUGUGUGGCUUCAGAAGCGCGGGAAAUACCAAGUGUCCUAUUGGGUGCCAACAUGAGAAAGGCAUCCAAGACUCGUAGCAGCGAUGCCGCCUCCAGUUCCACGGCAGCCGAGAGGCUGGCCGACUAUCGCGGCGAGAGCAGCUCGUCGAUCGUGCCCGUUCCCGCUUCCAGUCCUCACGUUAGUCCUAGCUCAGCUGAUGUAGAAGCCAGCACUUUGGCCAUGUCCGCCGGAAGUGGACCCGCCUCAACCAAUCCUCGUGGAGUCAAUCCGUUGGAUCAGCCGUCCACCAGCAAGGAAUCCCGUGAUGGUGCAAAGGAAAAGAAGCUUAGUUCGGGUUCUCUUGGAAGUGCUGA